AACCUGCCCUUGGGCAGGGGAACAACAGCUGGAAACGGCUGCUAAUACCCCAUAGGCUGAGGAGCAAAAGGAGGAAUCCGCCCAAGGAGGGGCUCGCGUCUGAUUAGUUAGUUGGUGAGGCAAUGGCUUACCAAGGCGACGAUCAGUAGCUGGUCCGAGAGGAUGAUCAGCCACACUGGGACUGAGACACGGCCCAGACUCCUACGGGAGGCAGCAGUGGGGAAUUUUCCGCAAUGGGCGAAAGCCUGACGGAGCAAUGCCGCGUGAAGGCAGAAGGCCCACGGGUCAUGAACUUCUUUUCUCGGAGAAGAAAAAAUGACGGUAUCUGAGGAAUAAGCAUCGGCUAACUCUGUGCCAGCAGCCGCGGUAAGACAGAGGAUGCAAGCGUUAUCCGGAAUGAUUGGGCGUAAAGCGUCUGUAGGUGGCUUUUCAAGUCCGCCGUCAAAUCCCAGGGCUCAACCCUGGACAGGC
RNAcentral lists this ribosomal RNA (471 nucleotides) under uncultured organism. RNAcentral's name for it is "bacterial SSU rRNA". It matches the Rfam family "Bacterial small subunit ribosomal RNA", at positions 123 to 624 of the family's 1533-position model. The record is from RNAcentral.